CUGAGUCUAAAAAUAGCUUGAUCAGCGUGUCGACUGUUUGGUUUACACGUGUUGGGAUACUGAUAGAUUCAUCAUCGAGAAUUACCGAUAGUGAUUGAAGUAAGUACAACUGCACAGUGGAUAUCUGAAAAGAUUGGGUCAAAAUUACACACUUCAAAGUCAAUGACAGAUUUAAACAUGUGACAACGCGUGCGUGGAUGUGAAGUUCUGCUGUAGUACGCAUCGUCCUGACACUAUUCGCAUCUUUUGGAAUUGUUUCGUCGUCUGCACUUUCUGUUGCCACAGCAGUCGCUGUUUUUCUUACAUUUCUCGUUUUUCCCUGCACACUACAAAAGAACCAUAGGAAGCAAAUGGUUUAUUUAACGACGCACUCAACACAUAUGGUUAAGGACCACACAGAUAUUGAGUGAGGAAAUCCGCUGUCGCUACUUCAUGGGCUACUCUUUUCGAUUAGCAGCGGGGGA
This is a long non-coding RNA of Gigantopelta aegis, 464 nucleotides long. RefSeq lists it as uncharacterized. The record is from RefSeq and is a predicted model, not a curated record. The transcript has 3 exons. NCBI's taxonomy places the organism in Eukaryota, Metazoa, Mollusca, Gastropoda, Neomphalida, Peltospiridae.